This 240-nucleotide ribosomal RNA is filed under the name uncultured bacterium. RNAcentral describes it as "partial 16S ribosomal RNA". It matches the Rfam family "Bacterial small subunit ribosomal RNA", at positions 874 to 1100 of the family's 1533-position model. The record is from RNAcentral.
CGGCCGCGUCGACCCUGGGAGUACGGCCGCAAGGCUAAACUCAAAGGAAUUGACGGGGCCCGGCACAAGCGGCGGAGCAUGCGGAUUAAUUCGAUGCAACGCGAAGAACCUUACCAAGGCUUGACAUGUUCUCGAUCGCCGUAGAGAUACGGUUUCCCCUUUGGGGCGGGUUCACAGGUGGUGCAUGGUUGUCGUCAGCUCGUGUCGUGAGAUGUUGGGUUAAGUCCCGCAACGAGCGCA